This 1486-nucleotide long non-coding RNA is filed under the name Homo sapiens (human). Its description in RNAcentral is "long intergenic non-protein coding RNA 1340". Lineage: Eukaryota; Metazoa; Chordata; Mammalia; Primates; Hominidae. The record is from RNAcentral.
AUUCUCAAGCUGCUGCAGAACUCGACUGCCAUUGAAAUGUGCAAAAGAAAAAUUUCCUGGCAUCUUAAAAAAAAUGUCGAAGUCAGUUACUCCACAAGCCCUGUUUGUAAGAGUCCUUGAAAAGAGAAGCAUCAGUUUUCCAAUAUGAAGUAAAUGGAGAGUCUGGAGUUGCUUCUGUUGGCCAUCAAUUUCCUGUGGUGCAGAGGGGCUACAAAUAUAAUACAGAUUAAACUCCCUGCAGGAAGUCUCUUAUGGAUAAGAACAAGUUCAGCUUCCCAUUGGGGAUGACAGAGCUGGUGCUCAGGUCAUCAACAUCCUGCUGAACCUAUGAGAAAGCAUUUGGGACAACUUGACAAUGCAUGGCUUUGGUAUCAGGAGGAUGAUGCCCUCAUAAAAUGAGUUCGGGAGGAUUCGCUCUUUUUCUAUUGAUUGGAAUAGUUUCAGAAGGAAUGGUACCAGCUCCUCCUUGUACCUCUGGUAGAAUUCAGCUGUUAAUCCAUCUGGUCCUGGACUUUUUUUGUCCAUGAGGAGGUUAUGCUGUACAUUCUUCAGACAGAGAAGCGAAGGGCUUCUGAAGAAAACCUGAACAGAGAGAGAAGGAUUUGCUCCACCUAAAAAUAAUUUUCCAAAGACAGAAAGAAAAGAUAGGUGUCCAUGGCAUUGUGGAGUAGUGGGGGCUUGUGUCUUGCUCCUCAGAAGAAACCUGGUGAGAUGGGACUUUUCUGUGGAGAGUGGCUACAUUAGUAGCCUGCUUCUUCAAAAUAGAUGGUCCACUCAAAAAAGGGGGUGGAAGAAAGAUUUAUGAAGGAAUCAUUUACAUGGUUGAAGGCAAGACUAAAACAAAACAAAAAAAACAAAACAAAAAAAUAAAAACAAGAAGGAAGGAUGAAGUGCUCCUGGGAGUAAAUGGGGAAGCAAGCCUCAAGCUGAAAGUGGAAGAAAUGGGUACCAGGGCCUGUCACUGUAGUUGCAAGUCUAUGAGAGGAUCACCCAACAGGAGCUUUGCCAUUGUUAGAGUAAUGCAUUCUCUCUCAACACAAAACCUCACAGGAGUUUGCCAGGGGAAUAAAUACUUCAAUGUCUAUAUUUCCCACUAUGCUUAUAUCUUCUAUUAAUACUUCCCAUUGACUGAACCCAACUGGAAACCAGAGGCAACAGAAGUAGAAUGAUGUAAUAUGUAGAGGCUGAUGUAGCAUGUGUUUCCUUAAAUUUCCCUAUGGCUAAUGAUAUUGAGCAUGUUUUCACGUGCCUAUUAGCCAUUCAUAUAACUUCUUUGGAUAAAUGUCUAUACAAAUGCUUUGCUCCUUCAAAAGUUGGUUUAUUUGUUUUUUUAUUGUUGAGUUGUAAAAAUUUUUUACAUAUUCUGGAUAUAAGACAUAUGGUUUGCAAGUAUUUUUUCCAUCUGUAGUUUGUUGCUUCACUUUCUUGGUGGUGUUCUAUGAUGCACAUAAAUUGUAAAUUUUGAUAAAUUUCAACUUUUCAAUCU